This 5873-nucleotide long non-coding RNA is filed under the name Sus scrofa (pig). RNAcentral's name for it is "lncRNA (ENSSSCG00000058317.1)". The record is from RNAcentral. Lineage: Eukaryota; Metazoa; Chordata; Mammalia; Artiodactyla; Suidae.
UACGCCAGAGCCACAGCAACGCGGGAUCCGAGCCGCGUCUGCAACCUACACCACAGCUCAUUAACCGGAUCGUUAACCCACUGAGCAAGGGCAGGGACCGAACCCGCAACCUCAUGGUUCCUAGUCGGAUUCGUUAACCACUGCGCCACGACGGGAACUCCCUUUUAUAGUUUUGAUGUCACAAAUUAUCUCUUUUUAUACUGUGAUUUCAUUAGCAGGUUGUAGUAGCUAUAGUUGUUUUAAUGCUCUUUUUUAUACCUUUAUACUGUAGUGAAGUUUAAUAUAAGAUUCUAAAAGGAGUUAUAGUAUUAUAAUUCUGACUAUUUACCACAUAGAGUUUUGUGUAUUUCAUCUCUUUGUUUUAGCUUGAAAAACUCCUUUUAACAUGUCUUAUCAGGCAGGUCUGGUAUUGGUGGACUCACUCAGCUUUUGUUUGCCUGGGGAAAGCCUUUAUGUCCCUUUCAUAUCUGAAGGGUAACUUUGCUGGGUAGUGUAUUCUUAGUGGGUACGUUUCAACCUUUCAAUAUUUUGAGUAUGUCAUUCCAUUUUCUCCUGGCCUGUGGAGUUUUUAUUGAGAAAUCUCUGAUAGCCUAAUGGGAAUAUCUUUGUAGGUUACUGCCUUUUUUUCCCUGGUUGCCUUUAAAAUUCUUUCUUUAUUACUGAUCUUUGAUGGUUUAAAUACGAUAUGUCUUGGAGAAGGUCUCUUUGCAUUGAGAUAAUAAAGUGUUCUAUUAUAUUCAUGGACUUGUGUAUCCAGUUCCUUCCUCAGGUUUCAGAAAUUCUCAGCUAUUAGGUCUUGAAAUAAAUUCUCAGUUCCCUUUCCUUCUUCUCUUUUUGGGAUACCUAUUAUUCUUAUAUUGCUUUUCCUGGUGGGAUCAGAUCAUUCUGACAGGGUCUCUUCACUUUAAAAAAAUCUUAGUUCUCUUCCACUUGUAUUAUUUCUAUAUUUUUAUCCUUGAGCUCACUAAUUCUCUCUUCCAUAUGAUCUGCUCUAUUUCCAAAGCAUUCUAAUGCAUUCUUCAUCUCAUAUUUUGAGUUCUUCAGCUGAAGAAUUUCUCUUUGGUUCUUUUCUAGAAUUUCAGUCUCUUCGGUAAAGCAUCCCUUAUGCUCAUUCAUUUUAUUCUUAUGAUUCUUUUAUUGCCUUGCUGGGUUUUCUUGUAGUUCAUUGAAAUUAUUCGGAACAGCUAUUUUAAAUUAUCAGUUAGAUCACACUAUUCCAUGUCUUUGGAUUUUAUUGCUGGAAAAUUGUCAUUUUUCUUUUUGUGAUAACUUAUUAUUGUGACUUUUCAAGGUCUUCGGUUAAAAAUAGCUCUGCCACUGUAUCUGAAGUGGUAAACACCUUAUUUCCGCAAGGCUUUGCUUACUUUGAUUCUAGGAAUUCAACAGGUUGGUAGUUAGAGGCCUUUUGCUUUCCAGAAGGUGGCGCUCUAGCCCAAGUUUUUGGUUUUUCUAGAGGCGCUGACUAUGGUUGGGAACCUGAACCUAACAACAACAACAACAACAAACUAAACAAGGUGGCAGCAGAGUGGAGGGAGUGUGUGUGGGGAGGGGCAUACCUGGCACUUAAGCCUUUGGAUGUACCUACCCAAGGCCUGGCAGGGGAAUCCUCAAGUGCAAGGGUCCCAGAGGGCUGUGGGCAGCCCUGUUGCCUCCCUGGGACAGAGAGGGGAAGACGCCUUCUCCCAGCUGUCUUUUCUGCCUACUGCCCUUUCCUUUCCCAUUCCGCAGCCACUCUAGUCUCUCUUUGGGAGGAGCAGGUGGUCCCUCCAGCUGCCGCACAGUGGCCAGGCAGACACUCACUCACCACCUUCAUCUUCCGCUUCCUCUUCCAGAAAGGUCAUCUGGCUUGCUGUCCAACUGCUGAUGCCUUUUCUGCUAUCACAGCCUCCUUUGUGCAGGCUCCACCUCCUCCGUGGUCCAAUCCACCCGUUUCAGAAGAUGAAUGGCUCUCUUGGGUUUCAGGGUGUGCUGCGCAGUGGGGCUUCUUCCUCUCCUCCCCCCACCUCAGUUGUGGAUGUCUGAUUAGUUGAAAGUCAAAGAGGAGAGAAAAAAGAAUCGACUCAAACUGCCACGAUGCUGACACCCCUCUCCUCACAGUAAUUAAUUGGUGGAUUUAGACGUUGUCCCCACCAUCGUUGGUUUACCAGUGAGCAUGUGAUGAAGGUGUAGCAUUUCCUGGGAAAUCUGUCUGCUUGGUGUUGCUUUUGACUCACUCACGCUGUCACACAUCAGCCCGUGUGUGGUGACUGCUUAUUCUGAUUCCAGUGCGACAGACUCACAUAUUCCCACUGGACACAACUAAGAGCCGGAGAAACUAUGGUUUUCUAUUUCCUGUGAUUCCGAACUUCAAAACCUCAAGGGAAAGCUCUUUACUUGUUUUGUUUUGUGUGUGUUAUAUAUAGGCUACCCUAUAGAUCCAGUCAACAACCUCUUAGUGCCCAGUGUCAGGGUCUUCCCAAGUAAAGCAACUCGCUUGAUGAAUCAUUCACCGCAAUAGUGUUCAGUUAAGCCUCCUUGGUUGGUUGAGUUUAAUAAUGGUAUGGUCUUAGACAUCGUGGCGUCUCAGGCAGGAAAUACCCCUCAGAACUAAGUAAGUAAUUAUCUGACUUUAUAUUGUUUGUCCAUAUAAUAACUAAUACCAGAUGAAGAUUUUAGGUAGUUUGAGAUUUAGGAAGCACAGUUCAUGAAUCUCGAUGAAUGUUACAAUAAGAGCAAAUAAUUAGACUGUGUUUUCUCUGUACUACUGUAUUUGCCAGACACAAAAUGUGCUAUGUAUUUCACUUUAUGUAAACCAUUUAAAAACUCUGGGAUAGCAACUAGUACUCUUAUUAACCCCAUUUUACAGAUGUGUAAACUGAGGCAUAGAAGAGGUUAAAUAACUGUCCAGAAUGAUAGUGAGUGGUAGGGGUAAGUCCUUUGACUGCUGACUGCAAAUACUGAGCCUGUGGAAUUGGUUGUUGACAGUAGUGCCACCAUCACAAGAAGGGCAGAUUUGUGGCUAUUAUUACCUUUCUAAGAUACAAUAAAUGAAGGAUAAACAUUUUCAUUAUUAUUAAUUUCCUUGCUGUUUCAAUUGCAUUUUGUCACUACUUAAAUCCCCGUGCAGUCUGUUGAAGGACAUUACAUUAAAUGUCAACUUUUAUGUGUAUGUUGGGAAGGACCUGAUUUGAAAAAAGGAAAAGAGUCUACUUAUAGAUACAAAACUUCCACUCUAUAGAAGUGACUUUCUGACCGGGCAUGAGGGCAUCCUUCCCCUAGUAUUUCAUCAUCUCUGCUGCCACCACCGUCAUCAUUAUCACCUUCCCAUGGUUUUGGUGACGAAGUGGAGAAUUUUUUCCCCAGAGUAAACGUUGUCCUGUUCAUUAAAGACUACUUCCAUCUUUCGAUGUAGUCUGUUCCAUCAGAUUUUCUUUCAAAUGGAAAUUUCUUACUUGAAAUCUUAUUUAAAAAUUUUCAAUUUCAAUAAAAUCAUUAAAACUAAAAAAAUACUAUUAAAGCACCCCGCUUCUCAUUUUAUAUCAAGUCCAAAUAUCCUUCUCUUUCUGUUGUAUUUAUUUGAAGAGUUAUCUUUUUUUCUUAGGUUAUCGUAUUCCCCGAACACAGUAAUUUAUGUUCCAGGGAUUUUGUUCCCCUUGAUUUUGGUGGGAAGCUUUAUUUAUAUUAAUUAUUGAAUUUUUUGAUUGACCAGUAAUCCCUGAUGGAUGUUAUAGCUGGAUUUAAUACAAACAGAGAAAAAAAAUCAAGUUUAUUUUUUCAGGUUAAUAAGGUUUACUUUGACUACUAGAAAAAAUUUAAAGUAGUUCAAUACUCUUUCCAUUAAGGUACUUGUGUUGGUCCCUAUUGAUGGUAAUGCUUUCAUUGGAAAUUCCUAAGGCACUUCCUUGGCUAUAUUAUUCCUGGUGAGCUCUCUCAGGAAUUUUUUUUCCCUUCUCUAAAAGGAAGUGCAAAAUGCAUGCCAUCUGUUUUUUGUCAAAAUGAAUUUGUUUAUGUGUCUCUUUUACACAAACAAGCUAGCAAUGAACUAUACACUCUAAGAAAGGUUGUAGCUACAGCAUUUUGAAGGUUCUUAAACUUUUUAUUCUGACCUAAAAAUUUCCAGCACCUCUUUACCAGGAAAACCUUUAUAGAAAAGUUUGUUCAUUUCAACCUCUUCCAAGUUCUUAAUCGAAUGAGGGUACAAGGCAAAGGUCUGAACUUGAACUCAUGUCCUAGCUUAUUGGAAGAGCUGAUGACCUAGUUAUCUGGAUCAUUUGAUUGCAUUCAGAAGACUGUGUGAAAGAGAAAGACUGGACACAUUGUUGCCUUUGGUGACCCUACACUAAGACCCCUGAAUGUUCAUCAGAUCAUUAGUAUCUCCAACAGUGUUAUGACCAUAUGGACAGGAAAGAUUCAAGUCUCUCAAGCUUUGGGGGCUAUUCUGGUGGGGGAAUCAAUGAGGAGAGAUAAUAGUAGACAUAGCAUCACUUUAAUGAACCUCUGGUUCUUCCUGGGGAAUCACGGACAGAUUCCUAGAGAAAGCAUGGUGAGGCAUGCUACAGAGUUGUAUUAAAAAAGUGUGCAUUACAGGCAUUUUAGGAGCAAGAACACAAUGCUUCUAGGUUUAGGCUUUAUGUAUUUCCUACCUAUUCAUAUCCUUCAGCAGUUGUUCUUUGGAGCAUAGCAGAGGAGAACCUGGCACCUCAGCUAGGUGACAGGAAUAGCAUAUAUGGAUGAAAAGGUUGGUAGCAAACUGAGAAGUAGAGGAUGGCGUUUGGGAAGGCUUAAAAAAUGUAGGUCUGGCUCUAUCUUUUGAGAAAGUUUUCAGGUACUUUCAUGAUGGCUUCUGCCCUCCUUUCCUUCCCAAAUGAAAAAGAUUUCUUGAAUAUGUAUGUGCUAGACGCUGUGUUAGAUAUUAGCAGCACAUAGUCAUUCCCUUUAAGGGUUUUACAUUCUAUUGUGGAAGUCAGAAAUGUAACUCCUCAAUUAUGGACCAGUAGGGAAAGUGUUAUGAUAAGCGUAUUUGAAGUCUGCACAUGAACCCAGAGGCACGUAACCUGAGAUGACUGAAGAAGUCAAGCAGAACUUCUUGGAGGUAAAGGAACUGUCCUGACUCCGAAAGCCAGGAAGACUGGAUGAAGAUUCAACGUGCAAGGGCAAUCCAGGUAGAGACAUCAAAUAAAUGUAUCCACAACUAGCCUUGGAAUAUGUGAGUUAGUAACAUAUCUGUUCUGCCGCCACUGGAAGAAGGCGUCUCUGCAACAACUGCUUCAAAGGUGGAGUCAUCAUUUAUUUAUCAUUAUGGAAUUAUGGUCUCACUAGUGCUUAAGAUCAUGGACAUGAAAUAGAGAAGUUGAAUGUUUAGAUUUGGCCAGAGCUGGGGUUUUGCGAAGGAAAAUACAGUGCAAGGAGGAUGGGUGUAGAGAAACAUGCAUUUGGGGGCCCCGGAGGAGAAAGCAGAAAUCGGCAGACUGUGUUUCUGAAGCCAACACAGAGACAACUAUUUGUUUGUACCCUCAGAGUCUUUGACUGGACCCCUAAGCUCCUCCUGUCUGUUUUCUUUCAUUCAGAUAAUAAAUACUUUUGUCACUGGACAUGAGCUUAAGUAAAUAAGCUGAGUGUUAAAAGAAUAUGAAAAUCCUUCAUUUUUAGCUUCCUUAAAAUUUUUAGGUAUAUGUCAAAUGUAUUUCUUGAAAUUGGAAGAAGCUUCAUGUCUGUCUGGCAAAUACCUGCCUUGGUGGGGAUGGCAGGGAGAGGCAGGGUGAGAUAAAAUCCUGAGAGCCGCAGGGCCCAUUGUUAGGGGUUACUUUAUGGAGUAGUAAUACAAGGAAUCCCAGGGAGGCUGGAGUUGCUUAAAGGAUGAAUUUCUCUGUCAGGUGGCUGCUAAGGUCUUGCCU